This 29-nucleotide small RNA is filed under the name Arabidopsis thaliana (thale cress). Its description in RNAcentral is "ATSL230400". The record is from RNAcentral. Lineage: Eukaryota; Viridiplantae; Streptophyta; Magnoliopsida; Brassicales; Brassicaceae.
UUGCAGUCCGACGAUCAGAAACAGGCUUG